UACGAAGGGGGCUAGCGUUGCUCGGAAUUACUGGGCGUAAAGGGCGCGUAGGCGGCAAUGUUAGUCAGGCGUGAAAGUCCUGGGCUCAACCUGGGAACUGCGCUUGAUACGGCAGAGCUAGAGGAUGGAAGAGGGUCGCGGAAUUCCCAGUGUAGAGGUGAAAUUCGUAGAUAUUGGGAAGAACACCGGUGGCGAAGGCGGCGACCUGGUCCAUUACUGACGCUGAGGCGCGACAGCGUGGGGAGCAAACAGG
This 253-nucleotide ribosomal RNA is filed under the name uncultured bacterium. RNAcentral's name for it is "partial 16S ribosomal RNA". It matches the Rfam family "Bacterial small subunit ribosomal RNA", at positions 524 to 776 of the family's 1533-position model. The record is from RNAcentral.